RNAcentral lists this ribosomal RNA (1425 nucleotides) under uncultured bacterium. RNAcentral's name for it is "partial 16S ribosomal RNA". It matches the Rfam family "Bacterial small subunit ribosomal RNA". The record is from RNAcentral.
GAUGAACGCUGGCGGCGUGCCUAACACAUGCAAGUCGAGCGAUCUUCUUCGGAAGAGAGCGGCGGACGGGUGAGUAACGCGUGGGUAACCUGCCUCAUACACAUGGAUAACAUACCGAAAGGUAUGCUAAUACAAGAUGAUAUAAGAGAUUCGCAUGGAUUUUUUAUCAAAGCUCCGGCGGUAUGAGAUGGACCCGCGUCUGAUUAGCUAGUUGGUAAGGUAACGGCUUACCAAGGCGACGAUCAGUAGCCGACCUGAGAGGGUGAUCGGCCACAUUGGAACUGAGACACGGUCCAAACUCCUACGGGAGGCAGCAGUGGGGAAUAUUGCACAAUGGGCGAAAGCUUGAUGCAGCAACGCCGCGUGAGCGAUGAAGGCCUUCGGGUCGUAAAGCUCUGUCCUCAAGGAAGAUAAUGACGGUACUUGAGGAGGAAGCCCCGGCUAACUACGUGCCAGCAGCCGCGGUAAUACGUAGGGGGCUAGCGUUAUCCGGAUUUACUGGGCGUAAAGGGUGCGUAGGUGGUUUCUUAAGUCAGGAGUGAAAGGCUACGGCUCAACCGUAGUAAGCUCUUGAAACUGGGAAACUUGAGUGCAGGAGAGGAAAGUGGAAUUCCUAGUGUAGCGGUGAAAUGCGUAGAUAUAUGGAGGAACACCAGUGGCGAAGGCGGUUCUCUGGGCUCACAUUGACGCUGAGGCUCGAAAGCGUGGGGAGCGAACAGGAUUAGAUACCCUGGUAGUCCACGCCGUAAACGAUGAGUGCUAAGUGUUGGGAGGCUUCCACCUCUCAGUGCUGGCGUUAACGCAAUAAGCACUCCGCCUGGUGAGUACGGCCGCAAGGCUGAAACUCAAAGGAAUUGACGGGGACCCGCACAAGCGGUGGAGCAUGUGGUUUAAUUCGAAGCAACGCGAAGAACCUUACCAGGACUUGACAUCUGAUGCAUAACCUAGAGAUAGGUGAAAUUCUUCGGAACAUCAAGACAGGUGGUGCAUGGUUGUCGUCAGCUCGUGUCGUGAGAUGUUGGGUUAAGUCCCGUAACGAGCGCAACCCUUAUCACUAGUUGCCAGCAUUCAGUUGGGGACUCUAGUGAGACUGCCGGUGACAAACCGGAGGAAGGUGGGGAUGACGUCAAAUCAUCAUGCCCCUUAUGUCCUGGGCUACACACGUGCUACAAUGGAUGAUACAGCGAGAAGCGAAGUCGCGAGGCCAAGCGGAUCUCUUAAAGUCAUUCUCAGUUCGGAUUGUUCUCUGCAACUCGAGAGCAUGAAGCCGGAAUCGCUAGUAAUCGUGGAUCAGCACGCCACGGUGAAUACGUUCCCGGGUCUUGUACACACCGCCCGUCACACCACGAAAGUUUGUAACACCCGAAGCCGGUGGCCUAACCUUAUGGAGGGAGCCGUCGAAGGUGGGACAGAUGAUUGGGGUGA